Oreochromis aureus is the source of this 1431-nucleotide long non-coding RNA. NCBI's taxonomy places the organism in Eukaryota, Metazoa, Chordata, Actinopteri, Cichliformes, Cichlidae. The record is from Ensembl.
GCAUGUUUCUGUCAGAGUGCUCAGAAAUGUUUAAGCAAUGUCUCUUUACACAAGCCAGCAUUGGUCACCCAUCACGCUGGGAUUCCUUCACUUUUAUAUUGUGAUGAUUUCUUUCCCACGCUCGUCGCUGACAGACUUGGUGGGAAACAGUCGAGAUGAGAAUGUCAAAGGUGGAUGUUCAGAGACAUUCAGCAUCAGAGCUCGGCUGCUGAUUCAGUUUCCUUCUGGAGUGAUCGUCGAGCAUCACUUCAGGACCAACAAAAGUCCCGCCUUCAGUUUGGCUUCACAGACUGAUUCUUUAAAAGCUGAAACCUGUUCUGUCAUCCAGGCUGUCCAAUACUGAGACGCUCCAAACUAAAAAACAGGACAUGCUCGACGGGAGCGGUGUUCAGAUUUAGACUCAAUGAACGAAUCCCAGCAGCAAAAUUCACAGAAACAUGUUUCAGCAACGUUCUUCCCGUUAAAAGGAAGUUCUUCCUUCCCCCCGUCUCCGAGUGUUCGUCGUGCAUCGUCUGAUUGAUGGUUUCUCUCUAAAGUCAGAAUUUCUCAGAACUUGAUUUUGGGGAAUAAAUGUAGUUUUUGUCUCCAGCUGAGGAGAUUUUGAACUUCUGUAACUUCCCUUUAAUUGAAUUAUGGAGCUGUGCUCACAGGUCAUCUGACCGGUUUCUCCUGCACAUACAGGGAGGGGACAGAGCACGCUCUGCUGCCUUUGCACACUGGACUCAUCUAAAACACAUUUAUUCUCCGUGACCUUUGACCCAGCGUGAGGCAUUGAUCUUUUUGUAUUUUUUAAUCAUUUCCAGUGUAUUUAUUCAUUACUGUUUGCAGCCUGUAUCUGCUGUGGCUGUUGUUGGAGUGCAGCUUAGACACCGUCUGACACACACUUCUGUGUGUCUGACACAGGAGGCUGGGCCGCUUCUCUUUUACCUGUGCAAACACAGGUGUAAGAGCCAUGAUUUGUAAAGCUACGUUAUCUGAUGAUGGCACUCGUUAAUGAGUAAUCAGAGAUGUUGCAGAGGCUCUUUCAUCAAACUGCAGUCUCUCUUUUGUGCCCAACAAAAACACAUCCUCCUGUUGAUACUUGAUGCUGCCGUUUCAUGAAGUCGUGGCUUUUUAUCUUCUCCGCUGCCGGGUGGAGCACAGCUCAGCCUGUCUGGCAUGGAGAGCGUACACAACAGGGACUCGCUGCUUCCUCUGUGAGUGGACUUUAACUCUGCGUGGACUGCAACUGUCCCAGCUGACAGCGAGCCUCCACUCCAACCCCACAUCCACGAGGUUUGCAGAGAGGAACACGCACUCAGCGAAGGAGAUUUAAGUCUUCGUGGCCUCGUUUUUAUCUUUGUACUGCUUCCAGUUUUGUACUCUGUGUGUCACAUGUGGCAUCCUGGUCAGUAAAUGAAUAUAUGAUCAAUAAAAACAAAAUAAACUGAA